Non-coding RNA from Ovis aries (sheep), 73 nucleotides. The record is from Rfam. NCBI's taxonomy places the organism in Eukaryota, Metazoa, Chordata, Mammalia, Artiodactyla, Bovidae.
UCCCUGGUGGUCCAGUGGUUAAGACUUGGCACUUUCACUGCCGUGGCCCCAGGUUCAAGCCCUGGUUGGGAAA